GAUGUCAACUAGUUGUCGGGUCUUAAUUGACUUGGUAACGCAGCUAACGCGUGAAGUUGACCGCCUGGGGAGUACGGUCGCAAGAUUAAAACUCAAAGGAAUUGACGGGGACCCGCACAAGCGGUGGAUGAUGUGGAUUAAUUCGAUGCAACGCGAAAAACCUUACCUACCCUUGACAUGGCAGGAAUCCUUGAGAGAUCAGGGAGUGCUCGAAAGAGAACCUGCACACAGGUGCUGCAUGGCUGUCGUCAGCUCGUGUCGUGAGAUGUUGGGUUAAGUCCCGCAACGAGCUCAACCCUUGUCAUUAGUUGCUACGAAAGGGCACUCUAAUGAGACUGCCGGUGACAAACCGGAGGAAGGUGGGGAUGACGUCAAGUCCUCAUGGCCCUUAUGGGUAGGGCUUCACACGUCAUACAAUGGUACAUACAGAGGGCCGCCAACCCGCGAGGGGGAGCUAAUCCCAGAAAGUGUAUCGUAGUCCGGAUUGGAGUCUGCAACUCGACUCCAUGAAGUUGGAAUCGCUAGUAAUCGCGGAUCAGCAUGUCGCGGUGAAUACGUUCCCGGGUCUUGUACACACCGCCCGUCACACCAUGGG
This 595-nucleotide ribosomal RNA is filed under the name uncultured bacterium. RNAcentral's name for it is "bacterial SSU rRNA". It matches the Rfam family "Bacterial small subunit ribosomal RNA", at positions 808 to 1408 of the family's 1533-position model. The record is from RNAcentral.